Non-coding RNA from Chelonoidis abingdonii (Abingdon island giant tortoise), 263 nucleotides. Lineage: Eukaryota; Metazoa; Chordata; Testudines; Testudinidae. The record is from RefSeq and is a predicted model, not a curated record.
AAGCAAAAUCAAGAGAACUCCUCUCAACGGCAGGUGGGAGGAAACAUGAAAACAUGAAUUACCAUCCACUUCCUCUCUCUCUCACAGCAAUGCACGGCUGUUUUGACGUAGUGAAAGCACUUCUUGAGCGGUGCCCAUAUGAACCUGACAGCAGGGACAAAUGCGGAGUGACUCCCUUUAUGGAUGCGAUACAGAACGGGCACAUCGACAUAGCCCAGCUGCUUCUAGAAAAGCAUCAGGUAUGGUGUCAAAAGACCCACACU